Molecule: long non-coding RNA, 2202 nt
Filed under: Salvia miltiorrhiza (redroot sage)
Lineage: Eukaryota; Viridiplantae; Streptophyta; Magnoliopsida; Lamiales; Lamiaceae
Description: long non-coding RNA (SMIL_LNC002276)
Source: RNAcentral
UGGAAAAUGCUCAUUGCCCAUCAAAUACAUGAACAAAAAGUUCAUCAAUAUAAUACUACAAUCACACUUCAAACCCUAAUUAUACUAGCCAAAGAGAUGAAAGAGAGAUGGACAAAUAGAGAUAAAGGAGGCAGGAGCAAACAUACCUUACAAGUUGGAAGUACAAAUAGAAUAUUCUCCAUUUAAGUGCAUGUGUCUUGGCUCUAAUAAAGAAAUUGUUGCAAUUUGAAGUUAGUCUUUUAGCUUUUAGGUACUUAGUCUUUACAUGUAUACUAUUAUGUUUUCUACGUUAAUUAUAGGGCUACACACACCCACAAUAAUUGUUAUUGUUAACUAUCAUUAUUAGUUGGUAUAUAUACACACACAUACUCAAAAAAUAGUGUAGCAAAUAAUAAUACAAUGAUGUAAAUAAAAUAUUCAUAAUCUAUUAAUAUAUUCAUGGCAAGGAGUAAUGCAAAGAGUUUGAGCCUAUAAUCCUUGCUUAUGUUCUUCCCUGCUCUUCUGCACUGUAGUUGCUACUGGCAUACGCUAGUUCUCCUCGGUAUGAAGGUCCGGAGGUGGACAGGGCAAUAGCAGAGCAUGAUGCUAAGUCUCUCUUUAAAGCUGGGGAGAAGAAGCUUGGAACUGAUGAAGACACUUUCAUACGCAUUUUCGCUGAGCGAAGCCGGGCACAACUGGCUGCUGUUUCUUCUGCUUACCAUAGCAUGUAUGGGAGCUCACUUAAAAAGGUACUUUUCCUUAAAGGUUGUAAUUCUUGCGCAUAGAAACUGUAUGUUGGAUAUAUAAACAUCUUUGAAUCAUUCUGCAGGCCGUAAAAAGUGAAACAUCUGGGAACUUUGAGCUUGGUCUCUUAACUAUAUUACAGUGUGCUGAAAACCCUGGGAAGUAUUUUGCAAAGGUAAACUACGACAUUCUAUCUUAAUUACAUUCUCUCCUGGAUUAGCUACUUAUUUUUGUGUAAUGACUGCAUAAUUCACCUUGAAAUGCAGAUGCUGCACAAGGCAAUGAAGGGUAUGGGAACCGAUGACUCAACCCUUACCAGAGUGAUAGUGACAGAGCGAGAUUGAUCUGCAGUAUAUAAAAGCGAGUACCAAAAGAAAUAUGGGAAGUCGCUCAACGAUGCAGUGCAAUCAGAAACAUCAAGCCAUUACAGAGCAUUCCUUCUGUCUCUUUUAGGCGCCACACCCCGCUAGACAGAGGUGAGUGUAAUAAUAACCCUUUUCUUGAUCUCGUGGUUCACCAUUUGUACAGCUUAUGGGGAUGGCCAAGAUAAAGAAUUUCGUGGAAGGGUCGCCCUGCAAAUAAAGUUCCAUGAGUUGAGAGAAGAGGCUUGUUCUGUGUGUUCUUCAGUUGUCUGCUUUUGUUUGUACAUCGUUAUUUCCACGUCAAAGUUAGCAGCGUGGAAUGUUUGCUAGAUUGGUCAUAUCUUGUCGUAUUGUCUAAUUUAGUACCAAUUGUCUUUGUAGCUAUCUUAAGCUGUAUAUUGCACUAUGAUUUACCCCUUUUCAGCUUUCUAUAUUAAAGAUCUAAUGAUAAGGCUUUGAUUGUAACUUUUCGUACUUGGACCCAAUUGUUUAAAUUAAUGCAAUUAUCAAAUGUUUAAGAGGGUGUUUGGCAAGUUAUAAGGUAAGGGUGCGUUUUCUUUGGUUGUAAAUUUAUCAUGAGAAAAAUAGGGAUAAAUAAAAUUUCACCCUUCAAAUCAUUCUUUUCUUUUCUCACAUUUUCUACUUGACCCUUACUCAUUCCUCAUUUACACUACAAAUGAGGGAUAAUAUUAUUCCUCCAAAAAUAGUGUGAUAAUAUUAUCCCUCCUUUGUAGUGUAAAUGAAGAAUGAGUAAGGGUCAAGUAAGAAAUGUGGGAAAAGAAAAGAAGGAUUUAAAGGGUUAAAUUUUGUUUAUCCUUCCUUUUCCCAUGAUAAAUUUACAAUCAAAAAGAACGCACCCUUAGGAGUUUAUAAGCNAAAAAGUUACACCAAUAUAAUAACUACAAUCACACUUCAAACCCUAAUUAUACUAGCCAAAGAGAUGAAAGAGAGAUGGACAAAUAGAGAUAAAGGAGGCAGGAGCAAACAUACCUUACAAGUUGGAAGUACAAAUAGAAUAUUCUCCAUUUAAGUGCAUGUGUCUUGGCUCUAAUAAAGAAAUUGUUGCAAUUUGAAGUUAGUCUUUUAGCUUUUAGGUACUUAGUCUUUACAUGUAUAC